Molecule: non-coding RNA, 449 nt
Organism: Pelobates cultripes (western spadefoot toad)
Lineage: Eukaryota; Metazoa; Chordata; Amphibia; Anura; Pelobatidae
Source: the annotation of a GenBank genome assembly
CAAACUUAGUACUGCCCACAGGGUUUUACAGAACAACCAAUAACACACGUACAUUACACACAUACACUCCCACACAACAUCCUCCCCUCUGCCUGUGAUAUGAUUACUGAACACAAUGGUUAAUCUAAUUAUCACAGGCAGAGAAAUACAGUGUUAUAAAACAUAUCACAGGGACCCCAAAACAUGCAAUAACCCCAUAAAAAAUAUGGAACCGGGGGAUCUGGGUGAACCACAUAUCCAAAAUUCACCCAGAUCCGUUCAGUAGUUUGGAAGAUGCAGUUUAAUGCAGAUUCCGCAGAACAUAUACAGGCUAUAUGAAAAAUAAUAACUGUAUAAUGUGUCCCCUGUUGUAUGGUUUAAAACUACUGAACGAUGUCUUCGUGCACCAAAUACUGGCGAGAUGGCACCAUGUAGAAAAGUCCAAACAGUGUCUGUUAGUUAAAAUGGCC